AGUGAACGCUGGCGGUAGGCCUAACACAUGCAAGUCGAACGGCAGCACAGAGGAGCUUGCUCCUUGGGUGGCGAGUGGCGGACGGGUGAGGAAUACAUCGGAAUCUACUCUGUCGUGGGGGAUAACGUAGGGAAACUUACGCUAAUACCGCAUACGACAUACGGGUGAAAGCAGGGGAUCUUAGGACCUUGCACGAUUGAAUGAGCCGAUGUCGGAUUAGCUGGGUGGCGGGGUAAAGGCCCACCAAGGCGACGAUCCGUAGCUGGUCUGAGAGGAUGAUCAGCCACACUGGAACUGAGACACGGUCCAGACUCCUACGGGAGGCAGCAGUGGGGAAUAUUGGACAAUGGGCGCAAGCCUGAUCCAGCCAUACCGCGUGGGUGAAGAAGGCCUUCGGGUUGUAAAGCCCUUUUGUUGGGAAAGAAAUCCAUCUGGUUAAUACCCGGGUGGGAUGACGGUACCCAAAGAAUAAGCACCGGCUAACUUCGUGCCAGCAGCCGCCGUAA
RNAcentral lists this ribosomal RNA (506 nucleotides) under uncultured bacterium. Its description in RNAcentral is "partial 16S ribosomal RNA". It matches the Rfam family "Bacterial small subunit ribosomal RNA", at positions 29 to 523 of the family's 1533-position model. The record is from RNAcentral.